This 422-nucleotide long non-coding RNA is filed under the name Apteryx rowi (Okarito brown kiwi). RNAcentral describes it as "lncRNA (ENSARWG00000011177.1)". Lineage: Eukaryota; Metazoa; Chordata; Aves; Apterygiformes; Apterygidae. The record is from RNAcentral.
CACCCCACCCAGGGGGCUAAAAUAGAUUAAAACGGGAGUUUUCGCUACUUCGGUUAUUUGAAAGUGGCAUCUUUGUGCUCCCUCCAUGUACAGCAUAAGCCAGGAGAAAGUGCCCUGCCCAGGCACCUUCAUGUUAGACAUUCCUUUGGAGUAGCAUCUGGCACCACUGAUGAUACAUCAGGUCUCUUGAUAGAGGAUGGAAUUUUCUGCAUAGCAACUCCUUUUUAUUUAAUGACUUGCAUAACAACAAUCAUCCUUGUAGAGACACAUAGAACUGAGGAGCAAUGUACAAUGGAUGAUGUUAAAAUGCAAGAGCAAUGCCCUGCUUACAGAAUCACAGAAUGGUUGAGGUUCGAAGGGACCUGUGGAGAUCAUCUAGUCCAACCCCCCCUGCUCAAGCAGGGUCAUCUAGAGCACGUUGC